GUCUACAGCCACGCCACCCUGAAUAUGCCCUAUCUCGUCUGAUCUCAGAAGCUAAGCAGGGUUGAGCCUGGUUAGUACUUGGAUGGGAGACUACCUAGGAAUACCACGUGCUAUAGGCA
Non-coding RNA from Pteropus alecto (black flying fox), 119 nucleotides. NCBI's taxonomy places the organism in Eukaryota, Metazoa, Chordata, Mammalia, Chiroptera, Pteropodidae. The record is from Rfam.